GCAUAUCAAUAAGCGGAGGAAAAGAAACUAACAAGGAUUCCCCUAGUAGCGGCGAGCGAAGCGGGAAAAGCUCAAAUUUGUAAUCUGGCGCUUUCGGCGUCCGAGUUGUAAUCUCGAGAAGUGUUUUCCGCGUCAGACCGCACACAAGUCUCCUGGAACGGAGCGUCACAGUGGUGAGAACCCAGUACACGGUGCGGAUGCCUGAUGCUUUGUGAUACACUUUCGAAGAGUCGAGUUGUUUGGGAAUGCAGCUCAAAUUGGGUGGUAAAUUCCAUCUAAAGCUAAAUAUUGGCGAGAGACCGAUAGCGAACAAGUACCGUGAGGGAAAGAUGAAAAGCACUUUGGAAAGAGAGUUAACAGUACGUGAAAUUGUUGGAAGGGAAACGCUUGAAGUCAGACUUGCUAUUCGGAGCUUGCUUCGAUUCGCAGGCCCGCAUCAGUUUUCCGGGGCGGAAAAUCGUAAGGAGAAGGUAGCAGUUUCGGCUGUGUUAUAGCUCUUUACUGGAUUCGUCCUGGGGGACUGAGGAACGCAGCGUGCUUUUUGCAUGGGCUUCGGCCCAUCCACGCUUAGGAUGCGGGUGGAAUGGCUUUAAACGACCCGUCUUGAAACACGGACCAAGGAGUCUAACAUGCUUGCGAGUAUUUGGGUGUCAAACCUCGGAUGCGCAAUGAAAGUGAAUGGAGGUGGGAAGCGCAAGCUGCACCAUCGACCGAUCUGGAUUUUUUAAGAUGGAUUUGAGUAAGAGCAAGUAUGUUGGGACCCGAAAGAUGGUGAACUAUGCCUGAAUAGGGUGAAGCCAGAGGAAACUCUGGUGGAGGCUCGUAGCGGUUCUGACGUGCAAAUCGAUCGUCAAAUUUGGGUAUAGGGGCGAAAGACUAAUCGAACCAUCUAGUAGCUGGUUCCUGCCGAAGU
RNAcentral lists this ribosomal RNA (913 nucleotides) under Sporobolomyces salmonicolor. Its description in RNAcentral is "LSU rRNA". It matches the Rfam family "Eukaryotic large subunit ribosomal RNA", at positions 38 to 967 of the family's 3401-position model. The record is from RNAcentral. Lineage: Eukaryota; Fungi; Basidiomycota; Microbotryomycetes; Sporidiobolales; Sporidiobolaceae.